Loxodonta africana (African savanna elephant) is the source of this 85-nucleotide microRNA precursor. Lineage: Eukaryota; Metazoa; Chordata; Mammalia; Proboscidea; Elephantidae. The record is from Ensembl.
UGCUGUGGAUUAGGCUUUGGUUUAAGGGAAUGUUGUGGCUGUUUUGAUCUUCUAUCCAGACCACUAAAACUUUCUCCACAUCAGC